UUAGUGCUGCAGCUAACGCAUUAAGCACUCCGCCUGGGGAGUACGGUCGCAAGACUGAAACUCAAAGGAAUUGACGGGGGCCCGCACAAGCGGUGGAGCAUGUGGUUUAAUUUGAAGCAACGCGAAGAACCUUACCAGGUCUUGACAUCCUCUGACAAUCCUAGAGAUAGGACGUCCCCUUCGGGGGCAGAGUGACAGGUGGUGCAUGGUUGUCGUCAGCUCGUGUCGUGAGAUGUUGGGUUAAGUCCCGCAACGAGCGCAACCCUUGAUUUUAGUUGCCAGCAUUCAGUUGGGCACUUUAAGGUGACUGCCGGUGACAAACCGGAGGAAGGUGGGGAUGACGUCAAAUCAUCAUGCCCCUUAUGACCUGGGCUACACACGUGCUACAAUGGGCAGAACAAAGGGCAGGGAAACCGCGAGGUUAAGCCAAUCCCACAAAUUUGUUUUCAGUUCGGAUCGCAGUUUGCAACUUGACUGCGUGAAGCUGGAAUCGCUAGUAAUCGCGGAUCAGCAUGCCGCGGUGAAUACGUUCCCGGGCCUUGUACACACCGCCCGUCACACCACGAGAGUUUGUAACACCCGAAGUCGGUGAGGUAACCUUUAAGGAGCCAGCCGCCGAAGGUGGGACAGAUGAUGGGGGUGAAGUCGUAACAAGGUAGCCGUU
This 664-nucleotide ribosomal RNA is filed under the name Bacillus amyloliquefaciens. RNAcentral's name for it is "bacterial SSU rRNA". It matches the Rfam family "Bacterial small subunit ribosomal RNA", at positions 840 to 1504 of the family's 1533-position model. The record is from RNAcentral. Lineage: Bacteria; Bacillati; Bacillota; Bacilli; Caryophanales; Bacillaceae.